AUUAAAGUUGUUGCAGUUAAAAAGCUCGUAGUUGGAUUUUAGAGUUUACUUAGUAGAGUCCGCUUGAAUGAGUGUGUAUUUUACUAGUAGCUCUCCUUACUAGAUAUUCACGAUCAUUUUUAAAAGAGUGGUUGUUCUUGCUCCGCAAGGGUGAGGUGCUUGGUGGGUCUGGGAGUUGAGAUGUGGUGUUUUUACGGGGCAACCUGUGGGAACAUCUGCUUGGCUAACUUCCAUCGAGUAGAAUUCUAGUUCAUUUACUUUGAGUAAAUUAGAGUGUUCAAAGCAAACGUACAUUUUGUAAUGAAUACUAUUAGCAUGGGAUAAUGGAACAGGACGUUGGUUCUAUUUUAUUGGUUUCUAGAACUAAUGUAAUGAUUAAAAGGGAUAGUUGGGGGCAUUAGUAUUUAAUUGUCAGAGGUGAAAUUCUUGGAUUUAUGAAAGACUAACUUCUGCGAAAGCAUUUGUCAAGGAUGUUUUCAUUAAUCAAGAACGAAAGUUAGGGGAUCGAAGACGAUCAGAUACCGUCGUAGUCUUAACCAUAAACUAUGCCGACCAGGGAUUGGAAGACGUUAAUUUAAAAAAUAGGACUCCUCCGGCACCUUACGAGAAAUCACAAGUUUUUGGGUUCUGGGGGGAGUAUGGUCGCAAGGCUGAAACUUAAAGGAAUUGACGGAAGGGCACCACCAGGAGUGGAGCCUGCGGCUUAAUUUGACUCAACACGGGAAAACUUACCAGGUCCAGACACAGUUAGGAUUGACAGAUUGAGAGCUCUUUCUUGAUUCUGUGGGUGGUGGUGCAUGGCCGUUCUUAGUUGGUGGAGUGAUUUGUCUGGUUAAUUCCGAUAACGAACGAGACCUCAGCCUGCUAAUUAGUUAUAUAAAUUAAUACGUUAUGAGGGUUUGUUGUAGAGCUUUCUCGCAAGAGAGGGAUUUGCAGUGAAAACUUGUUUUAAUUUAUAGGAACUUCUUAGAGGGACACUUGGUGUCUAACCAAGGGAAGUUUGAGGCAAUAACAGGUCUGUGAUGCCCUUUAGAUGUUCUGGGCUGCACGCGCGCUACACUGAUAUAAUCAACAAGUAUCAACAACCUUUGCAGAAAUGUAUGGGUAAACUUCUGAAAUUAUAUCGUGCUGGGGAUCGAUAAUUGUAAUUAUUUAUCGUCAACGAGGAAUUCCUAGUAAGCGCAAGUCAUCAGCUUGCGUUGAUUACGUCCCUGCCCUUUGUACACACCGCCCGUCGCUCCUACCGAUGAAUGGUCCGGUGAAAUCUUAAGAUUGAAAGCAUAUACUUAUUGAUUUCGGUUAAUAAGUUUGUUUUUGAGAAUUUGAGUAAACCUUGCCAUUUAGAGGAAGGAGAAGUCGUAACAAGGUAUCCGUAGGUGAACCUGCGGAUGG
This 1392-nucleotide ribosomal RNA is filed under the name metagenome. RNAcentral describes it as "SSU rRNA". It matches the Rfam family "Eukaryotic small subunit ribosomal RNA", at positions 603 to 1824 of the family's 1831-position model. The record is from RNAcentral.